This 226-nucleotide small RNA is filed under the name Pogona vitticeps (central bearded dragon). Its description in RNAcentral is "7SK RNA (ENSPVIG00000001737.1)". The stretch from base 1 to 178 matches the Rfam family "7SK RNA". Rfam says of the family: 7SK was discovered as an abundant small nuclear RNA in the mid-70s but a possible function has only recently been suggested. Two independent studies have found that 7SK RNA binds the CDK9/cyclin T complex (known as elongation factor P-TEFb). Lineage: Eukaryota; Metazoa; Chordata; Lepidosauria; Squamata; Agamidae. The record is from RNAcentral.
GGGUAAUGCAGUUUGGCUGUGAACAUAUGUCACCCCAUUGAUCACCAGGAUUGAUUUGGCUGAUCUAGGCGGGUAUCCACUUCCUCCCUCUCCCCUCCUGAAGCUCCGCACUUGAUGGAAGAGGACAACCAUCCCAGACAGAAGUAGUGUAUUAUUCUUUAGUCAAGGCUAUACAAUAGCUUAGUGUGAAUAUUAUCUGGAGAUAUUUUUGUGAAAUUUGCUGCCA